AUGCCAACUUAAAAUAUAAUUCUUAUCAGAUUUGAUCUUCAACUGCAAUCUUGACCCAACCUGAAGUCCUGAACACUCGGAACAUGCAUCUGGUGGCAAAAGUUCCAAACAAUUCUUCCAGAUCACAUGCCUGGAGAUUAGACCUCAGUUUGGUGCAAAUGCUUUAGAUUGUCAUUUUCUUUUCCUGGAAACCAGCUCAAAGGAAGGCAAAAC
RNAcentral lists this unclassified non-coding RNA (213 nucleotides) under Hevea brasiliensis (rubber tree). The record is from RNAcentral. Lineage: Eukaryota; Viridiplantae; Streptophyta; Magnoliopsida; Malpighiales; Euphorbiaceae.